RNAcentral lists this ribosomal RNA (527 nucleotides) under uncultured bacterium. RNAcentral describes it as "bacterial SSU rRNA". It matches the Rfam family "Bacterial small subunit ribosomal RNA", at positions 777 to 1304 of the family's 1533-position model. The record is from RNAcentral.
AAUAGAUACCCCGGUAGUCCACGCCGUAAACGAUGAAUGCUAGGUAUUAGGGGUUUCGAUACCCUUGGUGCCGAAGUUAACACAUUAAGCAUUCCGCCUGGGGAGUACGGUCGCAAGACUGAAACUCAAAGGAAUUGACGGGGACCCGCACAAGCAGUGGAGUAUGUGGUUUAAUUCGAAGCAACGCGAAGAACCUUACCAGGUCUUGACAUCCCUCUGACCGUCCUAGAGAUAGGGCUUCCCUUCGGGGCAGAGGUGACAGGUGGUGCAUGGUUGUCGUCAGCUCGUGUCGUGAGAUGUUGGGUUAAGUCCCGCAACGAGCGCAACCCUUGACUUUAGUUGCCAGCAUUGAGUUGGGCACUCUAGAGUGACUGCCGGUGACAAACCGGAGGAAGGUGGGGAUGACGUCAAAUCAUCAUGCCCCUUAUGACCUGGGCUACACACGUACUACAAUGGCUGGUACAACGGGAAGCGAAGCCGCGAGGCGGAGCGAAUCCUAAAAAGCCAGUCUCAGUUCGGAUUGCAGG